RNAcentral lists this ribosomal RNA (665 nucleotides) under uncultured bacterium. RNAcentral's name for it is "bacterial SSU rRNA". It matches the Rfam family "Bacterial small subunit ribosomal RNA", at positions 56 to 691 of the family's 1533-position model. The record is from RNAcentral.
AGCGAGUCUGCCUUGAGAUCGGAGUGCUUGCACUCUGUGAAACAAGAUACAGGCUAGCGGCGGACGGGUGAGUAACACGUGGGUAACCUGCCCAAGAGAUCGGGAUAACACCUGGAAACAGAUGCUAAUACCGGAUAACAACAGAUGAUGCCUAUCAACUGUUUAAAAGAUGGUUCUGCUAUCACUCUUGGAUGGACCUGCGGUGCAUUAGCUAGUUGGUAGGGUAACGGCCUACCAAGGCGAUGAUGCAUAGCCGAGUUGAGAGACUGAUCGGCCACAUUGGGACUGAGACACGGCCCAAACUCCUACGGGAGGCAGCAGUAGGGAAUCUUCCACAAUGGACGCAAGUCUGAUGGAGCAACGCCGCGUGAGUGAAGAAGGGUUUCGGCUCGUAAAGCUCUGUUGUUGGUGAAGAAGGAUAGGGGUAGUAACUGACCUUUGUUUGACGGUAAUCAAUUAGAAAGUCACGGCUAACUACGUGCCAGCAGCCGCGGUAAUACGUAGGUGGCAAGCGUUGUCCGGAUUUAUUGGGCGUAAAGCGAGUGCAGGCGGCUCGAUAAGUCUGAUGUGAAAGCCUUCGGCUCAACCGGAGAAUUGCAUCAGAAACUGUCGAGCUUGAGUACAGAAGAGGAGAGUGGAACUCCAUGUGUAGCGGUGAAAUGCGU